CUUAGUUCAGUGGUAGAACAUCGGCUUCCCAAGCCGAAUAUACGGGUUCGAUUCCCGCAGGG
This 62-nucleotide transfer RNA is filed under the name human gut metagenome. It matches the Rfam family "tRNA", at positions 6 to 65 of the family's 71-position model. Rfam says of the family: Transfer RNA (tRNA) molecules are approximately 80 nucleotides in length. Their secondary structure includes four short double-helical elements and three loops (D, anti-codon, and T loops). RNAcentral also lists the same sequence under 2 other names. The record is from RNAcentral.